GCCUACGGGGGGCAGCAGUAGGGAAUCUUCCACAAUGGGCGAAAGCCUGAUGGAGCAACGCCGCGUGGGUGAAGAAGGUCUUCGGAUCGUAAAACCCUGUUGUUAGAGAAGAAAGUGCGUGAGAGUAACUGUUCACGUUUCGACGGUAUCUAACCAGAAAGCCACGGCUAACUACGUGCCAGCAGCCGCGGUAAUACGUAGGUGGCAAGCGUUGUCCGGAUUUAUUGGGCGUAAAGGGAACGCAGGCGGUCUUUUAAGUCUGAUGUGAAAGCCUUCGGCUUAACCGGAGUAGUGCAUUGGAAACU
RNAcentral lists this ribosomal RNA (305 nucleotides) under uncultured bacterium. Its description in RNAcentral is "bacterial SSU rRNA". It matches the Rfam family "Bacterial small subunit ribosomal RNA", at positions 337 to 634 of the family's 1533-position model. The record is from RNAcentral.